This 1610-nucleotide ribosomal RNA is filed under the name Minisyncoccota bacterium. RNAcentral describes it as "bacterial SSU rRNA". It matches the Rfam family "Bacterial small subunit ribosomal RNA". Lineage: Bacteria; Bacillati; Minisyncoccota. The record is from RNAcentral.
UUUAAGUAGAGUUUGAUCCUAGCUCAGGAUGAACGCUGGCGGCGUGGAUAAGGCAUGCAAGUCGAACGGACUUUUAUUGUUGAAGUGAUUAUGAAGUAGCAAUAUGGAAUGAUUAUGAAUACUCUUAAAAGUUAGUGGCGAACGAGGUAGUAACACGUGGGUACGUACCCUUGAGUCGUGAACAACUCAUCGAAAGGUGAGCUAAUACACGAUAGACUCUCCGGAGUAAAGUUUUUCGCUCAAGGAACGGCCUGCGGGAUAUCAGCUAGUUGGUAGUGUAAAGGACUACCAAGGCUAUGACGUCUAGGGGAGGUGAGAGCCUGACCCCCACCGAUGGGACUGAGACACGGCCCAUACACCUACGGGUGGCUGCAGUCGAGAAUCUUCCACAAUGGACGAAAGUCUGAUGGAGCGACGCCGCGUGAUUGAUGAAGUCCUUUGGGACGUAAAGAUCUUUUAUGAGGGAAGAAGUUUAUUGACGGUACCUCAUGAAUAAGGGGCUCCUAAUCUCGUGCCAGCAGGAGCGGUAAUACGAGAGCCCCGAGCGUUAUCCGGAAUUAUUGGGCGUAAAGGGUGCGUAGGUGGCAUUGUUAGUCUCCCGUUAAAUCUCCGAGCUUAACUUGGAAACCGCGGGGGAAACGGCAAAGCUAGAGAGUGUGAGAGGUAUAUGGAACUCUAAGUGUAGGGGUGAAAUCCGUUGAUAUUUAGGGGAACACCAAAUGCGAAGGCAAUAUACUGGCACACAUCUGACACUCAAGCACGAAAGCGUGGGUAGCGAAUGGGAUUAGAUACCCCAGUAGUCCACGCCCUAAACGAUGAUAUCUAGUCUUUCGGAGUAUCGACCCUCUGAGAGGCGUAGCUAACGCGUUAAGAUAUCCGCCUGGGAAGUACGGCCGCAAGGCUAAAACUCAAAGGAAUAGACGGGGACUUGCACAAGCAGUGGAUUAUGUGGUUUAAUUCGACGAUAAACGAAGAACCUUACCAAGGUUUGAAACUUACGUGAAAGCUCCGAGAAACCGGAGCCCUCGCAAGACUAGUAAGCAGGUGAUGCAUGGCCGUCGUCAGUUCGUGGUUUGAAUUGUUCCCUUAAGUGGGGUAACGAACGCAACCCUCGUCGUGUGUUAUACGUGUCACACGAGACCGCCCAGAACAGAGAACGUAAGCCGUAGAACGUAGAACGUAGAACGUCAGAUGCAUUUGCAUUUAACGCUCCACGCUUUACGAUUUACGUUUUGCGAGUUCCGUUCUGGGAGGAAGGAGAGGAUGACGCCAGGUCAGCAUGUCCCUUUGACACCUUGGGCCACACACAUAAUACAAUGACUAUUACAACAGGAAGCGACGAGGCGACUCUGAGCAAAUCCUUAUAAAAAUAGCCUCAGUUCGGAUAGGAGUCUGCAACUCGACUCCUUGAAGCUGGAAUUGCUAGUAAUCGCGGGUCAGCUAAACCGCGGUGAAUAUGUUCUCAAGUCUUGUACUCACCGCCCGUCAAUUCAAGGGAGCCGGGAGUACCCGAAAUCUCCUCAUAAGAGGGGCCUACGGUAAGCUCGGUGACAGGGAAUAAGUCGUAACAAGGCACGGCUAGCGGAAGCUGGUCGUGGAAUAAUUCAAUU